Molecule: ribosomal RNA, 440 nt
Filed under: uncultured bacterium
Lineage: Bacteria
Description: partial 16S ribosomal RNA
Rfam family: Bacterial small subunit ribosomal RNA
Source: RNAcentral
CCUACGGGCGGCAGCAGUAGGGAAUCUUCCGCAAUGGGGGCAACCCUGAUGCAGCAACGCCGCGUGAGCGAUGAAGUAUUUCGGUAUGUAAAGCUCUGUCGGCAGAGAAGAAAAUGACGGUGCCUAACUGAUAGGCCCCGGAUAACUACGUGCCAGCAGCCGCGGUCAUACGUAGGGGGCAAGCGUUCUCCGGAUUUACUGGGUGAAACGUGAGCGUAGACGGCGGUGCAAGUCUGAUGUGAAGGCCCGGGGCUCAACCCCGGGAGUGCAUUUGGAACUGUGGUGCUAGAGUGCCGGAGAGGAAGGCGGAAUUCCUAGUGUAGCGGUGAAAUGCGUAGAUAUAAGGAGGAACACCAGUGGCGAAGGCGGCUUGCUGGACUAUGACUGACGUUGAGGCUCGAAAGCGUGGGGAGCAAACAGGAUUAGAUACCCGGGUAGUC